RNAcentral lists this unclassified non-coding RNA (273 nucleotides) under Hevea brasiliensis (rubber tree). Lineage: Eukaryota; Viridiplantae; Streptophyta; Magnoliopsida; Malpighiales; Euphorbiaceae. The record is from RNAcentral.
UUAUUUAUUUAUUUUAUUUUUAUGAUUUGAUGGGAGAAAAAAAAUGGAUGAUGAAAAGAUUAUUUCUUUUCGGAAAUUAGAAGGGGAUCUGAGGAAUGAUCAUUUAGUAAGGCUGACAGUGCUUAAAUCAUUCAAUUUUGAAUUUUUGAUACAUGCAAUAUAAACACUUCCCUUUCAUACUUUCUUGUGAUGACAUCUACUGUUAAACUACAAGCACAUGACAACUUGUGCACAUGCUGUUUUACCUCAUGGUUAGUUCGAUUUCUGUUGCAG